Micropterus salmoides (largemouth bass) is the source of this 468-nucleotide long non-coding RNA. RefSeq lists it as uncharacterized. The transcript has 4 exons. Lineage: Eukaryota; Metazoa; Chordata; Actinopteri; Centrarchiformes; Centrarchidae. The record is from RefSeq and is a predicted model, not a curated record.
GUGGCAUUUUCACUUAGAGACUGGAACAAUGGGAGCUCUGCGGGCCUUGCUUGUUUGCGUGCUGACUGUGUGGUUUACCAAAGGCUCUGGUUUGCCAGUUGGAGGCACAACAGAAAUCAGGAUGAUGAGCUGCAGAGAGUGAGAGAGUUUUUGUUGCAACAAGAUGCUGAUGGAGACUAUAACACGACGGGCCUCACCAAUGUGACGAACACGACGGGCCUCACCAAUGUGACGGCCACGACCCCAGCGCCGUCUCCGGCCACGACGGGCCUCACCAAUGUGACGGCCACGACCCCAGCGCCGUCUCCGGCCACGACGGCCUCACCAAUGUGACGGCCACGACCCCAGCGCCGUCUCCGGCCACGACGGGCCUCACCAUGUGACGGCCACGACCCCAGCGCCGUCUCCGGCCACGACGGGCCUCACCAAUGUGACGGCCACGACCCCAGCGCCGUCUCCGGCCACGAC